AUGGCAGAUCUUCCUCCUGGGCGGCGGCGGCGACGACGACGAGGCUGCGGAAGAGACGUCUUCUCUUCCAGCACCGGACAAUGGCGAGCUGCUCCGCUGUCAUCAGGGUUGGCUUCCUUCUCCUGGCGCCAGUAUGUGCAUGGCUGCUUGUACGGGAUGACAGCUUGCAGGGAGAAGCUACGUGUGCUCGACCUUCGGACGAUGGAGUUCUCACUCCUCCACCUCCCGCCUGAAGCCAAAGGUUAUGCUUAUGUGUAUGCAGACGUCGUGGAGGCAGGGGAGGGCAUCACUGGGUUGUUUGUGCGACCAAGGGGGACACUUGACAUCAGAUAUUUCACUAGGCGAAACAAUGGUGGGAGUUCCAGCCAGUGGCAGUUGGAGAAGAAUAUCUCACUGGAUUCUUCUCAAUGGCAGUCAGUGGGUCCACCAAGGCCGAACUGGUUCCUGCGUCACUCCGGAAGCCCAUCGCUUGAUGCUGGCCUUUUCUCACUGGACGUCAAGACAUUCCAGCUUGAGAGGGUGCUUGGAUCAGAGUUUAGCAUGUUUUACCCAUGGCCAUAUACCAACUUUCCACCAUUGCUGUCGACACCAACAAUAUCAAGUGUUACUCAGGAAGGUGAUGAGAAGGAGAUGCCGGAACAAGGUGCUGAGAUGCUGCAAGAUGACGAGCCCGCAGGUAACCUUCACGACGAGCACACUGCUGAUGACGCGAGUGCUGGAGGCCAGGUCGGUGUAUCGAGGGCUCGAGAUGGCGCUGAUUGA
This 762-nucleotide ribosomal RNA is filed under the name Triticum aestivum (bread wheat). RNAcentral's name for it is "partial small subunit ribosomal RNA". The record is from RNAcentral. Lineage: Eukaryota; Viridiplantae; Streptophyta; Magnoliopsida; Poales; Poaceae.